Molecule: long non-coding RNA, 1448 nt
Organism: Brassica napus (rape)
Lineage: Eukaryota; Viridiplantae; Streptophyta; Magnoliopsida; Brassicales; Brassicaceae
Exons: 2
Source: RefSeq, a predicted model, not a curated record
UUUUUCAUGAUGAUUAUACGGGACAAAUGAAAAUCUCAAAUCCUAAAACUCUCAUCAAUCUGGUUCAAAGAAAAGUUGGUGUGGAAGUGUCUUACUCUACAAUUUUAAGAUGAAAAUACGAAGCAGUAUGGGUGUUGGCAUAUACAUAUAGUAGUAUUUCAAUUCCUCACAAAGAACAUAAUGCUCACAAGGAACACAAGAAUCACAAUGAAUAAUGUUUUAAUUUUUUUUAGGAUUGUAUAACUGAGUGAAACUUAGUAAAACUGAUAAAGUUCUAAAAAAUAGUAAUGAAUAUAAAAUUCAAAACUUGUUUGCUUGUUUACAAGUAUACACAUAUUAUUCUAAUAAUUCUAAAUAUAUUUGUGAUUUAAAUUCAAAACGAUAAUUAUAUUUAAAAUUUGUUUGAUUUUUUACAAGUAUUACCUUAUACUUUUAUGGAUUUUCUCUUAAUAUCUGUCUUAUAUAUUAUAAAUUUAUAUAUUUCAUGAAAUUAACUAUACUAUUACAUGGUUAGAUGAUAAAUGAUUAUAGAAAACUGAAUAUAAGUUGUAUAACCAUAAUAUAAUUCUCUUGACUACAACAUAUAAGAAAAAUGAAAGAAUGGAAAAAUGAAAAUUUGAAGAUAUAUUUGUAAAACUGCAAACUUGGUAAAAAUUAUUUCCGGCGUGGGCCGGGACGUGGGCCGGGAGAAUUGAAAAAUUGAACUGGGCCCAAAACAAAGAAUCCAAAGUAUGAGAUUCUCUCUCUCUCUCCCUCCUUUCAUUCAUCAUUCGCUCAGUUUCUAGGAUUCUCUUUCCAUCACUUUGUCCUCUCACAUCACGAGAUCUAACAAACAGCCCACACACCUUCGCGUCAUGGAUCCAUGGGAGGAGAAAAUGAACAAGAGGGAGAUGAAGAAGAUGAAGGAACACUUCGACAUGAUUGGGUACGCAGCCGAUGCCCAAUUCGGGAUUCCAAGCCGUUUCCCGUAGGGGUGAUGAAUCAUCGACGAGAUAAAUCAGGGACUGACUUUGAUUCAUUUUAAAUUUUGAUCCUUAAGAGAGGAAAUAUCAGGGACUGACUUCGAUUCAUUUUAGAUUUUGAAUCUUAAGUGCGGAUAUAAUAGAUAUUUUUUACGUGCAUAACAAUGGCCGCCACUUUCGUCAACCAUGGGUUUUCGGUAUCCAAGAAGAGGGUCAGCGGUUAAGGAAGCAGAGAUUGAAAAGCUUAAGAAGCUUAUGUCCUGUCGUCCAAGAGAUCGUAGAUAACGACUUGAAUGAGUUUUUGUUUUGUGUUUGUUUUGAAUCUGUUUGUGUUGUUUAGACUUGUCAAUGGUUAGCUAGUUUAACCAUCUAUAAUAUGUCAAUGGUUAGCUAGUUUAACCAUUUAUAAUAUUGUUAUAGUUAAGACUGGUCUAUGGCCAACUUGUUUAACCACUAUGGCAAAUUAAUUUAAUUUUUAUAUUCUUA